Long non-coding RNA from Mauremys mutica (yellowpond turtle), 2093 nucleotides. RefSeq lists it as uncharacterized. The transcript is spliced from 4 exons. The record is from RefSeq and is a predicted model, not a curated record. Lineage: Eukaryota; Metazoa; Chordata; Testudines; Geoemydidae.
AAAGUUAAAGAGUCUAAUUCAGUCUUCUUGUUUCUGCAGCAGCAGCUCCAUGGCAUUCCCCUGCCAAGGCCAGGCUGAGAUUUUAUAUGAAAACCAGGAGAGAUUGCUCUGCUGAAAAUCUGUCUGGUACUGUUACUGCCACGUAUACAGCCAUUAUCUUCUGCAUAAGCAGAGGGGAAACUUUCUUGGGAAACUCUUUCACAUUUGCCCUUAAGCAAAAUCUACAGCUGUUAAGUUGCAGGAGUGAAAUGAGUUGGUGAUCUCAGUCCAGUCCCUUGCAGAUAGGUGUCUACAUAACAAAACCACGCAACUGUCCACUGAGCAGGCAGCUCCAGCAGCAAGACCUAGGACUAAGUGGACAUGAAGAAGGAACUAAUAUCUCAUCCCUGUAAGUAGCCCAUUAAGGUCAGGGUUGUGGCAAACUGAUGGGGCAGCAAAGCUUGCUUGGAUGUUGCGUGUACUGUCUGCAGAUAUCCAAAGGACUUCAUUUCCCAGAACCUUUUGUGCUCUUUGAAUUCCCUUAUCUUUUUUGGUAAAUCAGAGAUGAAGAUUAUAAACGGCAAUCAGUAUGCAACAGUUUACUUUUGAUUACAUUAUGUUUCCAGUUAUAUAUACAGCAUAAAUGCUGUCAUCAGUGCUGUAGUAGCUAAGGUUUUAAAACCAGUUCCUGAAAGGACUUCAGUUUCAAAUUCGAAUGAGCUAUCAGAUGUCUGAAGAAUGAAGCUGGUUUGGACCUGCAGAUUGGCAAGAGAGGGUUCAACACCGCAAAUAUGCUACUCAUCUGCGUACCUCUACAUCAGAAACAGAUGAAGUAGUUGAAUGAUUACAGACUUGGCCAAGUGUUCCAAUACAAAAGAAAAGACAAUUAUUUAAACAAAUCGAGAUUCUCUUGAAUCCAUGGAAAACAUAUUAGACAUUAAUACAGCCUUUGACAGCACAUUUCAUAGCCUACCACUUUUUAAAGACAUGCUGUACAAUGGAUACUAUAGGUUGGCCGAGUAAUCAAACAGUUACACCAACAGAUGGAGCCGCCACAGGAAAAGGAAAGAGAAGAAGAGGAAAGGGUAAGAAGAAGAAGAGGAGGAAGAAAUACAAGGGAGAUAUAAUAAGGCCACCCAGAAGUCAAUGGCACUACUUGUGGAUUAAUGUGCUACUAAGUCACCAGUCUGGAUCAUCAACGCAGCAGCUAAUCUUUUAUUUUACAAUCUUAAAUGAGUUUAAUGUUAUAUAAGUCGAUGUUUUAAGACUUUGAAAUACAGCCCAAAAGAUCUGGUUAAGCAACUAAGUACUUGGAGAUUUGUUCACCCUUUUUCUCUUCUUAAACAAAUUCUAUAAAUGUAUCUUUUAGCUGGAGAAUAAUUACGUUUUUAUGAAGCUGCUUUAUGUUUUCUAGCUAAUUGUUUCAGUUGUAAGUUGGCAAGCAAUGUUCAUGUUCCAGAAAGAUAAAGCUGUCAGGUUCUAAAUGUAACUGUAUACUUCAGGCUUACCAAUGAACAGCAUCCAUUACUACAUCAGCUGCUACCAUUAGGUAGGAAAAAAAGGUGGGAAGUGCAGAAACCUCGAAGGUCUGCCAUUUUUCAUGCGGAGAGAUCUCUUCUUCCCUGUUAUAUUUCCGUCCUCUUCUUUCUUAAGCACCAUUACUUAACCAAAAAACAAAAACCAAAUCCAAACUAAACAAACAUCAACAACCUGAGAUGCAGCAGUGUGCUUGUAAGGACCUCUUGAUGCCCACUGGCAGAGGACACAGAGGUACAUGGAUCCUCUGGGAUCACCAAAAGAAUGUCAAGUAAGGUCUCUAAUGAAAGCCUGUGUCAUGCUGCGCAUCAUAAUCACUGCAAGAUGCAUACAUGGGAAAUAUGUGAGGAGUUAGGUACAUAUGCUGAAAAUUAUGUUCUCUGGCCUUGUAUCAAUUAUCCUGCUGUCACAGGAGCGAGUGAGCGGGGCCAUAGCAGUGAGCUGCUGAGGGCUCCCGGUGCUGCCACAGGGCCGGUGAGACUCGAUCCUUGCAGGCACAAGGGGCAGGGAAGGCUGUGGUUCUGGCUGGGGUCUCCGCUCUGCCCAGCACCUUUUACCUGCAGAGAUCGGGUGUCACC